UAUUUCGACUAAGACAUCAAAUUUUGCUACAAAACCAAUUCGAAAAUCCUAAGCAGAUUACAAUUGCAUCCACCAUGUUUACAGAUCAAAAUCUCUAUCACUACAGUCUCCUCUCUCUCUUUUUCAUCGCCUCACCCACCUUCCUAGCCUUGCAAUUCCUCACCGCCCCUUAUGGAAAACACCACCGCUCCGGUUGGGGUCCGACCAUUUCACCACCGUUAGCGUGGUUUUUAAUGGAGAGUCCAACACUUUGGCUCACGCUUCUCCUCUUUCCCUUUGGGAAAAAUCACAACAACCCAUUAUCCUUUAUCCUCAUUUCUCCUUACCUUUUUCAUUACAUCAAUCGUACUAUCACUUACCCAAUUAAGCUCGCUGGAAAAUCAAGAAUUGCUCGCCGGAAAAUCAAGAAUCCUCCCCCGGAAAGUGGUUUCCCGGUGAGUAUUGCGAUGAUGGCUUUUGUGUUUAAUCUAUUGAACGCUUAUGUACAAGCUAGAUGGGUUUCUCAUUACGCUGAUUUUAAUACCGAUGAGUGGUUUUGGAUCCGGUUUGCCGCCGGGAUAGUGGUUUUCGCCGCCGGUAUGACGUUAAACGUUUGGGCUGAUAAAGUGUUAGUGGGCCUGAAGAGUGAAGGGGGUGGAUACAAGAUACCUAGAGGUGGGCUUUUUGAAUAUGUGAGUUGUCCAAAUUAUUUGGGGGAAAUAGUUGAGUGGUUGGGCUGGGCUUUGAUGACUUGGUCCUGGGCUGGGCUUGGGUUUUUUCUGUAUACAUUUGCUAAUUUGGUUUAAGAUACCAAAAGGUGGGCUUUUUGAAUAUGUGAGUUGUCCAAAUUAUUUGGGGGAGAUAGUUGAGUGGUUGGGCUGGGCUUUAAUGACUUGGUCCUGGGCUGGGCUUGGGUUUUUUCUGUAUACAUUUGCUAAUUUGGUCCCUAGAGCUUGUGCUAAUCAUGAAUGGUACUUGCAGAAAUUUGGAGAAGAUUAUCCUAGGAAAAGAAAAGC
This 995-nucleotide long non-coding RNA is filed under the name Nicotiana benthamiana. RNAcentral's name for it is "long non-coding RNA (NBEN_LNC022812)". Lineage: Eukaryota; Viridiplantae; Streptophyta; Magnoliopsida; Solanales; Solanaceae. The record is from RNAcentral.